UUGGACAAGCGAAAGAAAAGGAGUGAGGGAGAACGCAACAAUUUCUUCGAAUGUUUUGGAUCUUUGUGGAGUUGCCGCUGGGGUCAAACGGAUGGAUCAGUGUAUCGAUGACAGCCAGUGUGAUAAGUUGUGAAGAAGCGGAACCAAGAGUGAACUUGCUGUAAUCCAAGUUGAAUCAUAUCAUUUCAAAGUGAACCAAGGCGCCAGAAGUGGACAUUGCAACCUUUUUCUUUCUACCAUUUCCCUCCCAAUAACCCUCCCAAUGAGUGAGAUGUUUACCGGUAGUGUCUACUGCGCAAUAUGGGCACAUUGCUGAGCUCUCGUUGUGUAGAAUGUGAAGAUGCGUGUGAUGCGGGUGUUUGUCCUAUCCUUAAUCUCAUUAAGGUUCUCUGGUAGCUGCGUGAAGGGUGAUCAUUCCAGGAUGAUCUAUUGUUGUUUUAAUGAGUUUGAGCCGUUAAUCGUUGGAUUUUUGCCACUCUAUUUUCCAGUGCAGUUUUAUCUGGUAAUGCAGUCGGCGACGAAAGUCAUGGCACUGGAUGACUUGUUGUUUUGUGAUACGGUGGAUGCGAAAACCUACGAAAGCUGAUGCAUUUCAUGUUGGGUAGUUGUUUUAUAUGUUGGAUGUAUGGAUUGUUGAAGUUUCCGUGUUCUAUUGCCUCUAGUACCGGAGCGCUGUCGGUAAACAUAACACACUAGGCGUUUUGAGGUGCUAUUUCUUCGGCUGCUUUGAUGAUAGCUAUUGCUUCCGCUGAGAAGAUGGUGGUGUGACAAGGCAGUUUGAGUUGUAGGCAAAGUGAGUGUAUAUACUGCACAGCCGGCGUUGGGUGGUAGAACUGAUCCAUCGGUGUAAAUGUUGUAGUGGUCUUAGUAUUUAUCGGCUAUUUCGAUAAAGUGUUGUAGUAUGACCAAACUAUUGUUGUUAUGCUUGCAUCGACCGGUCUAUCUAGUUGAUGGGAUUGUACCACGGUUUUUUGCUUGUUUUUGUUGAUGUCAUGGCCUAUGAUACUUCAGUGGAAGAACGCCGCAUUCAACUAGUGCUGCAUCGGUUGGACUGGUUCUGAAGCAUCCCGAUAUGUAUUUGACGGCCCGGUGGUACAGUGGAGCGAACUGUUGGAUAAGAUCUGUGGAAUCUAGUGAGGCAACCUCCGCCCCGUACAGCAGCCGCGGCAAGAACCAGCCCUUUAGGACUGCCAACAGCGCUGGGCGAGGGGUGUUAUUCUGUGCCAACGUACGGAUGAUAUGUCAGCGAGGUAUGGUGCGUCUUUUAAUUUCCCUGCAGUGAUGCCCGAAGGUGAGUUUUGUUAUGAAAAAUAAUGCCCAAUUUGAUCUUUUAAUGUAGCUUUAGGACGGCAGCGGGCUUGUGUAACUCCGCUUGGUAUGUGUAGGAUUUUACCUUUUGAAGCUGCUAUGGAGUUGGUCCACUGGUGUACCAUGUGACUGGUUGUUGUAAUUUGCGUCGUGUAGUCUUGGCGUAAUGGAAUGUGGAAACCAGUAUGAUGUCGUCAGCGUAGUGAAAGGUGUGUAUGUUGUUUGGGAUAGAUAGUAUGAAGGACUCGAUGUGGCUGAUGAGGAAGAGUGUGGGAGAUAAAGAAGACCCUUGCGGAACUCCGUUUUCUAGUGGAAAGGGAGGCGGGAGGUAUGGGAGCCAAGGAGGAUUUUGAAUGUGUGAUCGGUUAGGAAGUUGGCCGUUAAGCGGCCAUCUAUGCCCCAUUUAGCCAAAGUAUCGCAAGGUAUGUUUCCAUACUUAUGCCGGGUCCGAAGGCGUGUUGGAGUUUGUAGAGGAGUUUGCGGUCUUCAAGUUUUGUGAUGAGCCUCUUAUUAAGGAUAAGAGGAGAGGUGUUAGCUGCAGGGUUAGUUUGGUCGUCGAAUGUGUAUGCAUAGAGUUAGUACCGAAUAUCGAAAGCAGAAGUCUAGUUCGUUAGCGUUAGAUCGGUAUCAGACGUUACUUUCGUUUGCGGGAUUUGUGUUUCCCGCCUUUUGGUGGUUUUACUUUCGGUGGUGUGUUGUUGUUGCUGGGAGAGAUUUCCUGCUUAAUGAUUGAGCCAGUGGAAGCAUCAGUGGAGGUUGAGGAGGGAGUUUUUCGUUCCGGUGUGACCGGGGCAGAGGUGUUCGAGUCCUUAUUCGUUGCUGUGUUAGUGUCCGCGUUUGUGUUGAUUGUGUCCAUGCUUUUACUGUUCGGCGUGUUGUUCGAGUUGGCGUUUUCGAUGUCAUUGUCUUUGCGUCGGGAUUGGAUCUGGCUUUUGAAGAAGUCACGUUCCUCAAUCACUUUCUGGAACUUUACGGAGGCCGAAUUUAACAUGGCCUUUAACUUUUCUAUUGUUGCGUCGCGUUCGGCCAGUGCCGUGUCGUUUUGUUGUUGUUGUUGUUGGUGGUGGUGGUGGUGGUGUUUUUGUUGGUGUUGUUGUUGAGCGCCGGUCAGUCGCUUUUGGACGCCGGACUCACCAUUUUGACUAUACAGUCUGCGAGCUUCGGAGUAGGUAAUCCCACACUGUGCCGUUUUGCGAGCGUGGAUGGGAAUUAUUUGCACCGGGGUACCAUCGAUUAAUUUAUUAAUCUUUAGCAGCUUGUCGAACUGCUCCCGACUCUGCGUUCUCAUUAAGAGCUUGAACUGUGAACUCUUUUCGAUCGGCACGCAAGGCUCGAUGGGACCGACGAACGGCGAGAGGCUUUUCUCGAUCAAAAACGCGUUCUUCGGAAUGGCAAAACCCUUCUGGGGCGCCAAAAUCAAAUAUCGCGGUUCGCCCUGUACGUCCGCUGGAUCCAUCCAGCCGGGGACCUGACGAUCACUUUUAUUCACCGGUGGGGUUCCACUAUGGCCCGCCAUCUUGCCUACGGGCUCACUACACUAAGACGCACCAAACGCAAGUUCGCUUCCGUCCGUUGGCCCAAAAUAAUCCCCCCACACAAUCACUAGUCAAACAGUCACCAAAAAUAACCGGUACUCACCGCUGGCAAACGGUCACGAGGCAGAAAAUCCACACUACCUAGGAUUCCAGGCUCCCCGGAAGAUGGCGUCGGUUGAGAAAUGGCGUCGCAGAAUACUAUGGCGUACGGCGUCGCAGAAUACUGGGUACAAGCGUUCGCAGCGUGUUUCUUCUCCGGAGGCUAGAACACGAUUGAACAGGAUUUGGUGCUUUUUUUGGUUGGCAGCACACCCCAAGCCCUUCAAAAAGCCCACGCAAAGCUCACCCCCACCCCGCGGUCUACGCGAGAUGCAGCGAUGAUGCGCGCGUACGUGUCCUGCGCAGCACUCUCAGCGCGGCGUGGAGGUGCGAAAGAGACGACGCUAUGGAAGCAUGCAAAAAGCGCACAGAACUGGAAGCUUCCAAUGCUUUCGCUUUAAUCAUAGGCAAAACGCUAGGAUUGAAAACGAUCUAUUUGUUUGCAUAUGUCGAUAAAAGUGAGUAAUUCGCAUUACUAAACCGGUGAUCCACAACGCGCGGACAACGGAUUUUACUGUACCAGGGAACAGUUUCUCGAUUCGACACCCCUGCACGGGCCGUGCUUACGGGCGCAGUGACAGCGUACGUCAGUGUUUUUUUCUGCGGUCGGUCGCUAGCUGGAGCACAUUGAAGGUAAACAUUGGAAAGGAAAGUUUGGAUAAGCUGCAGUGAAGUUGUGCUUGUUUCGAUGGGAAAGAUGAGGCUGUCUGAGCGAAUGGUUCAAAAUAAUCUACUCCCGUACUCGAAGGUGCUGGUUUGCUCACACGACAACGGGUGAGAAUGUGUGACAACGAAGCGAGCUUCUGCUGGGACAGCGGCCGUACAAAAGGAAAUAUCUCCAUCUCUCCGUUUGGGACAGUUGCUGCGCGAAAGGACGAAGCAGUACAAUCCCACAACGGCACGAACGGGUGGUCGUGCCGAGCUGCUGGCCGGUGGCCGGAUUGCACUGUACGGCGAUUCAACGCAUCUGGAGAAGCCGUGCUACACGACGACGGGCGAGAAACGUCCCAUACCUGUGUGUCAACGGCUAGAGUGGGAAUAUCCGGUCACGCUGCACAUGUCCAGCUUAAGCUUCGGCACCGGUCCAAACGAUCCAACAUCAUCUACUCGUCCAGGAACUAAAGCAAGGCCCACCGCAACCAAUCAUGCUGUUGGUGGGGAACGAGCUCGUCUACAGCAGCCGGGGUCGUAGAUUGGAAAGUCAGAAAGGUGGUAAUGCCGCACUCGGCGCCAACGAUGAAACGAUGAACGAAUGAGGCGCCUUGUGGUAGAUGUAUCUUGUUGAAGAAAAGGAAAAUGUCUAUGGGAAAGGUCCCCAAAUGAGCGAUGUGUGUGUGGGGAGAGCAACAGAAGCAGCAAAAGGAUGAACAUACAUUUUAUCAAUCCGUAUUGGUGUGAAUGUGUUCCUAGCCCACACGGGGAGGAACACAAAAUAAAGAAGAAAAUAUGUUUAUAACGAACACACAAGCGCGAGCGAGGAUGGUGGCGAUUGUUUGAAAGAAAAGGCCUCCUUUGAUUGCGAAACAGAACAGGAGCAAAGGAGACAAAAAGGAACAGCUAGGUGAGUUUGAACCGAUCGGUGGCGGUGGUAUUGUUCUUGUUGCGAAAGAAUGCAAGUGAGGGAGAACGGGACAGUUUCUUCGAAUGUGUUGGAUCCGUGUGGAGUUGCCGCUGGGGUCAAACCGAGGGAUCAGUGUAUCGAUGGCAGCCAGCGCGAUGAGUUGUGACGAAGCGGAACCAAGAGUGAACCAAAGCGACCAAGAGAAGUGGAAAUUGCAACUUUUUUCUUUCAACCAUUUCCCCAAUAACCCAACAACGAGUGAGAUACUUCAGUGGAAGAACGCCGCAUUCAACUAGUGCUGCUUCGGUUGGACUGGUUUUGAAGCAACCCGAUAUGUGCUUGACGGCCCGGUGGUAUAGUGGAGCGAAUUGUUGAAUAAGAUCUGUGGAACCUAGUGAGGAAAUCUCCGCCCCGUACAGCAGCCGCGGCAAGAACCAGCCCUUUAGGACUGCCAACAGCGCUGGGCGAGGGGUGUUAUUCUGUGCCAACGUACGGAUUAUAUUUAAACGAGGUAUGGUGCGUCUUUUAAUUUCUCUGCAGUGAAGCCCGAAGGACGGUUGCGGACACGUGUGAUUCCGCUUGGUAUAUGUAAAAUUUUGCUCUUUGAAGCCGCUAUAGAGUUGCCGGUCCAGUUGGUCCACUGGAAAACCUUGUUGACAGCAUGCUGUAGCUUGAGUCGUGCGGUCUUGGCGUAGUGGUGUGUGGAAACUAGUAUUAUGUCGUCAGCGUAAAGGAAGAUGUGUACGUUUGUGGGGAGGGAUAGUAGUAGGGAUUCGAUGCUUAUAAGGAAGAGGGUGGGAGACAAAGAAGACCCUUGCGGAACUCCGUUCUCAAGAGGGAAAGGGCGGGAAGUGUACGAGCCUAGCAGGAUUUUAAAGGUCCGAUCGGUUAGGAAAUGUUGCAGAAAUGCCGUUAAGCGGCCACCUAUGCCCCAUUUUGCCAAUUGAUCUAAUAUGUAGUAUCGCCAGGUGCGGUCAAAGGCCUUUGACAGGUCAAUGAUUGCGCAGAUAAUGUGUUUUCCUUUGUUCCUUGCUGUAGAGAAACACUGCUCUAAUGUCGCAAGGUAUGUUUCCAUACUCUUGCCGGGUCGAAAGGCGUGUUGGUGUUUGUUGAGGAGUUUACGGUCUUCGAGCUUCGUAAUGAGUCUCCGGUUGACCAUUUUCUCCAUCACCUUGCAGGUGCAAGGGAGUAGAGAGAUGGGCCGGUAGCUAUUGGCACUAUUGCUGGGUUGAUUAGGUUUGGGGAUAGGCACUAUCAGACUAUUUUUCCAUUCUGAUGGGAUGUUUCCGGUGGUCCAGAUAUUGUUGUAAAUAGCGAGCAAACGGUAAUGAGCAAUGAGAGGUAGAUUUUUGAGCAAAGGGUAGCCGAUAUUGUCGGCACCGGCAGAGUUUCCCUGGCAGCUGUUAAGUGCCCAGUGGAGCUCUCUUAUGGAAAACAGUUGAUUGUACGAUUUGUGGUUUGUGUCAGGAAAAGUGAUGGGAAGGUUGGACUCGGUAUUUAUUUUGUGAGCUAUGAAACUGGAAGAGUAGUUUUUGGUGGCUGAGGAGUUGUAGAAGUGAUUGCCGAGUGUUUGGGCAAUUUCGGGCGUGGAUGUAAUUGAUUGGUUGUUUUCGAUCAAAGUGAAGGUAGAGGAUGGUUUUUCCCAGACAUGUAGUUUAUCUGUCCCCAGACCUGUUUGAGUGUACUGGAUGGCUUGAUACUGUGCGCCAAGCUAGUCCAACCGGAGGCCUUAGCCUCUUGGAUGGCCCGCUUAGCUUUGGAGUUGGCUAUGCGAUAUAGGCUGGCUAGAUGAGGUGUAAUGGGGUUGUUGGGAAUACGAGUGCUCCGCCGCAGUUUGCGAAGGGCGGAUCUGCGUUCUUUGAUGGCUAAUUGAACGUCCUUGUUCCACCAGGGUACGGAUUUGCCGGAUUUGAA
This is a long non-coding RNA of Anopheles merus, 6417 nucleotides long. RefSeq lists it as uncharacterized. Lineage: Eukaryota; Metazoa; Arthropoda; Insecta; Diptera; Culicidae. The record is from RefSeq and is a predicted model, not a curated record. The transcript is spliced from 7 exons.